Myodes glareolus (Bank vole) is the source of this 484-nucleotide non-coding RNA. The record is from RefSeq and is a predicted model, not a curated record. Lineage: Eukaryota; Metazoa; Chordata; Mammalia; Rodentia; Cricetidae.
ACAGGCUCUACGUGCUGCUUAUGGAUUCAAGACUGUCAUGCCCUUUUGAGGAAUUACGGCCAGAAAAGUAGAGAGUCAUUUACCCACCUGGAAACCCAGACUGAUGCACAAUGUCCACACCUGACUGCGGAGCAUAGGCCUCUGGCUGAACUUUUGUCUCUUCCACUAUGGGAUCGCAGCAGGAACCGUUCCGAAAAUGUCAGCUGUUCAGAAAAUCUGGAUGGAGGGCACUGGGGAUGAGUUAGAGAAAUAAUUGGAUUCCUCCAAACUCUUGAAAUUUCAAACCUUUUCAAAACCACGCCUCUACCCCAGUCCCUUGGUUUGUCUGCUAGAAACGUCAACAUCUGGAAAGUCAAAAAUGCCAAGGAAAUUCUCUUCCCAAGAAACCAGAUGGCUGCAGGUUUCACAUGGGGGACAAACUGACUAAAAAUGUCAGCCACCAAAAUGGCAUGAGGGGAGAGAACGUUCCUGUCAGACUUGACCA